This 3223-nucleotide unclassified non-coding RNA is filed under the name Hevea brasiliensis (rubber tree). Lineage: Eukaryota; Viridiplantae; Streptophyta; Magnoliopsida; Malpighiales; Euphorbiaceae. The record is from RNAcentral.
GUUGUGUAAUUGAAUUCCAUGAAGAGGCAAAGGCUUUGUGGAUGAUAUCAUGAUAAGGCAAUUGUUUCAAAUAAUAUGCCUAUUUGCGCCAUGUUGGAAGGUAAAAAGAGUCAUGCUACAUAUGGAAAACGCUUUCACGUGAGAAAGCGCCGGUACUUUUUUCAAACAGCACUAGUCAUACUCAUACAUACAACAGGUUAAACAUAGUUUGCAAAAAAGACCCAGAAAGUGCAGUAAAAAAAAUGAGCACCUUCUGAUGGCAUUCCAGUUCAUGAAAUUUCUGCCACACGUCAAAGUUGGUGCUCCUGGGUUUGGUUCUUCUGGUUUACACUAUCCAGAUACUGCUUCACACAAGUUUGAUUUGUCUCAAAUAUGAAUGGCAUACCCCUUAUCUCAAUCAAACAACUGGAAGCAAGGUUUAGACUCUGUCCAGGGGCUAUUUCCUUGUCAUUUACUGAGAUAGAACAUUUGCCAAGAUUUUUCAGAUGGAAAGAUCCACCUUUGUCCAAAUUUAUAGUUGCCUGCCGACGAGAUAUCUUAUUUGCUCCCCCUUCCCUCCCCAACUCAAUGUCAACAAUUACAUCUUCUGUUGCUCUACCAAGCAAAACCUCAGGUUUCUUAAUAUAAUGCUUUGAAUGGCGGCCAUAUAAAACAGCAAAUGCUCCUUGAGAUGCAAUGGCUCUUUGCAUACAAGACUGAGCACCCUGCUCCAGCCUCAUAAUCACCCUCUUCAUGUCCUCAUGCUGAUAUCUUGAGACUUCCUCGCUGGAAUAUAAAUCCUGGUCUUCCGGAUCCAAAUCCAUAUCAAGUAUCAUUGCUUCAAUAUCUGAAAAAUAUGGCACAUCAUCAUCACUUUCUAUAGGUGGUUCUUCUAGAUCUGAUAAUGGAUGGUUUGCUCCAUGUUCCAGGGGCGUAAUAUCUGUAAACCCCAAUUUAGCAUGUGAUGCCUGAUGAGUUUGAAUUCUUGUUGGGGCAUCUAGCUCCUGUUUGAUAUCACUUGCGUUUGUAUGGGAAUAACACAUAUAACCAUCAGGAGCAACAGCUGGCUUUUCCAUUGAAGAAUCAGCAGUGUUAUGACUAAAGUGCUUCACCGGAACAACUUCAGGAGCUUCUUCCUUCAGUUUAGCAGGUACAAGAGUUUCUGCACUAGCAUUUGCUGAAUAAGCAAUGCUCACAUUCUUGUGAAUAGAGCUACUACUAGGCAAGUCAAACUUAACCCUACGAUCACCAACUGGAUGAAGAGAGCUGAUUUCUGGCACUACCUGUGAUCUUAUCAUCUGAGAAGAUGCAUGAGAUUGAUCAGGAUUUUCUAGAUCUCUCUGAAUCAGUACUGGAUCUCCUUCACUAUUUUUUGGAUUGCUUGAGAAAUCCUCAACGGCUGAAGGAUUUGGUUUACAAACAUCAUGAAAAUUCUGUCGUUCCAUAAAAGAAAAUGAUUUCGGACGUGAGUGAUUGAUGAAGACAACAUCAUCAUUGCAUGGGAUCUCUGGAUCCUCACUGUUUAAUGUGCAGAUAAUAACUCCAUCACCCAGUUCAGAAAAAUGAGGGUUUGAACUUGAUGCAGAUGUGUGAAACUGCACAUCUGAAUCUCCAACAGUAUCACCACUUUGGUGAGACCCCCUAUCUUCAUUCAAUUCUCCCUGAAUUCCACCAGACUUAUUUAUAUGAUAUUCUGGAGCUACAGAAGAUUCUGGUUCAGUUAUAUUUGCCAUGUGAUCUUGAUUGGCAUCAUUUGGUGAACUUAGCAAAAGUGAACUUAGACCAUCAUAGUAAGACUUGUCAAUCGCAUCUUUUCCAUCAACAUCUGUGAAUAGAAGUUCUUCCUCAUUUGUGAAAUUCAAAAGGGAAUUGGAAAGUUCAGCCAGAUAACCUUCCGUGCUGGCAGCUACAUUUUUCAUUUCCUCACUUGGUAUCUCCAGUUUUAAGUUGGAGCCAUAUUCUGACAGACAUGCAUUCUUCGUAUCGUUGUCACCAGGAAGUGAAAAUGGGUCUCCUGUGUGCAUAUUAACUGGAAUACUUGGUGAUGAAACACCCUCAACUGUCCUCCAUAUUGGCAUCUCAGGAAGAGGAGAUGAGUAAUCCAAGUUAUGAAAUGACAUAGCACACUCUGGAAUUGGAGAACUAAAUGUUUGGUCUCCACCAAACUUAGAGCAUUCCUGCACCUGGUCACUGUUCGCUGCCAAUUCUUUUGGUCCACCAAAUUCCUCAAUCACAGAUCCAUUUCUAGAGUGAGACAUAUUUUCUCCAUGUAUAUGUGGAGUCUCUUUAUGUACGUUAUCUUGCUCCAUUGGAUAACCCUCCAGGACUGUUUUCUGGAAUUGUGCAUGAAAGGCAUGGGCAGCAUUAUCAUCCCCAAUUUGCGGAAAAGGAUGAUGCAUGAUAUCCAAAUUAGAUUCCUGAAGUUGAAAAUGAUUUGAAACUGGAUCUCCAAGUAUACAAUGCCCAGAGAAAAGAUCAUCUUCAUUUCCCAUGUAAUUGUUAUCAGUGGGUGCAGUGAGAAAACCUAGAUCCAUGGUGUUAAAUGGUUCAUUGCGAAUUCUUUUACGUAAUGCAUAGUAACAACUAUGAACACUCUCAGCUUUCCUUUUCCCAGAAAGACAUUUGUUUUCUUUUGUAUUCCCGGCUCUACUGAAUUUUGAUGGAAAAGUUGAUUCAGAACGCUCAAACUCAAUCAUGUGAAAAGCAGCCUCAGCAGAAACAAUUGGAUCGUAAAGGAGAGAAUGCCACCGUUCUUGUAUUUCUCGAACAGUGAAUUUUCGAGAAAAAUUCACUGCACCUUUAGCCAAUGAUUCCAAGGAAGCACCAGCCUCCACAGCAUUCUUUAACAAAAGAUCAUCCUCUGGCAUCCAAGGAGAGACAGGAGCUAAAGCUCCCAUGACUAGAAACCCAACAAACCUCAGUCUCUCUAGUUUCCCUCUGUAGACUCUGAGAAGUGUGAUUGUUUUCCGUCUGAAGCAAAGUGGGGUUUAAGAGGAAAAUAAUAUUGAGAAAGAGAAGCCCUUUGGAGCGAAACGUGGACAAGGAAGAAGUCGAUGGCGUCUCAGGCGAGCAGGUGAGGUGAGGUGACCGGUGAUUUCAUGGAUCGUUGUCGUGAUUUUCUCAGGUGACAGGAAGUGCGAAACUUUGCUUGCUAGGUGUCCCAGGGCGGUGCGCUGGGUGCGACCUUCCACUGAAUAGUUCAUACCCGAAAUAACUAAUCUUUUUUCUUUGUAGUGAAUUUGGA